Aegilops tauschii subsp. strangulata is the source of this 4836-nucleotide long non-coding RNA. RefSeq lists it as uncharacterized. Lineage: Eukaryota; Viridiplantae; Streptophyta; Magnoliopsida; Poales; Poaceae. The record is from RefSeq and is a predicted model, not a curated record.
CUCACUCCCGCACUCACGCGUCGCCGCCUAGCUGCUCCCCACUCCGCCGACGCCGCCUCCGCUUGCCCUCGCGCCGUCGCCCCCGCUUGCCCUCGCGCCGUCGCCCCCGCUUGCCCUCGCGCCGUCGCCCCCGCUUCCCCUCGCGCCGUCGCCUCGUCUCCUCCUCCCCGCCCUCUCGAUGGUCCACAGCAACACCAGGUGAGCGCGAGCAGCCAGAGAGGAAUGGUCACGGCCCUCUCCCUCGGCGGCGCCGGCGCCAGCGGCUCCCUCCUCUGGAGGCCCCCUGCCUUGCGGGGUUGGCGGCCAUGCUCGCAGAUGACUCGUCGCCGGCGCCCUUCGAGAUGACGGUGGUUGCCAUGCUCAAGCUGCUCGGCGUCACCGAGGGCACCUCCUUCAACUGGAUCCUGCGCGCCAAGAAGGCCGUCGCCGCUUCCUGCAAGGACGACCCAGACGCCGUCGCCCAGAAUUGGAGCCUUUGAAGGAUUUGAAUGGAGCAUAUGUAUGCAUGCUACGGUUCAUCUUAGAAUUGGAGCCUUUGAAGGAUUUGAAUAUGGAGCAUAAUAUGUAUGCAUGCUACGGUUCAUCUUAGGUGAGUGUGAAUCUUCAGCAUCUGUCUCCUGUCGCUUCAGGGAAGAUGCUUUUAAUUGUUUUAUUGUCGAUGAUAUCAAUUUGGUAGCAGCCUUUGAGUGGUGGCAAGAUUAUGUGCAUAGUAUACUUUCAGCACUUGCAUAUCCUUGGUUCCUUGCUUGGCGUGGGAUAUAAGAACUUUUUAUGUUCUUUGGAUGCACAAGCAGCAGAAGUCAAACUAUAAUUAUGAAUGCACGUCGACUUACAGGGAGCUUGCUCGUUCUUCAGUUCUUUUAGCUGCGAUCGUGGUUCGGUCUGCAGUUCCUGUUGGCUGUGCUGAUGGCCCUGCCGCUGUGAUUGACCCUGAUGUCCUUCUGCAGCGGCAGAUGUUUCACGCCAGAUUGGUCUCGAUAGCGUGCAAUACUUAGUUUUAGCUUUACUGUGUGAGUUGUUUCUAUUUUUCUGGUUUUCCAUUGCUCCUAAAAUGUACAUUGAAAUCAGUGUGGCCGUAUUCAGAGAUAUGAGCUACUAUGUAGACAUUAUUUCAUUAUUUGAUUUUUCUAUGUACCUGGUUACUUAAUAAUCAUUCUUGAUAUUGAAAAGGGACGGAAAUAAGCUGAGUAUUGGACCUGACUGAGUAGUGUUUGCCAGUUAACACAUCUAUGUUAUUGGACCUGCAUUAGCCGAGUAUUACAUUCAAUUUAGUUUUACUUAUUACAUAUACUUCUGAUUUCAGUUUAGUUUUUGUCCACUGUGUAUCCUUCCGAUUUAUAUUACAUGAUUGAAGUAAAUUGUUUAUUCAGUUUGGUUUUGUUUAUUGUACAUAAUUCUGGGUUCUCUGAGAAGAUAUGUAUUAUGUUCCUCUUAUCAACCAUAUCUAUGAUUUUAUUAUUACCAGACUAGGUAUAAUCUCAGGUAGACUACAAAUUACAAAGAGAUUAAAAUUUCAAACCCAAAACUCAGGUUGAUUGAUACAUAGCUAUGGUUGUUUGCUGCAUAAUUUUUCUGAUUGUUUGCUGCCUAGACUCCAGUACGUAGAGGGUGUAAUGCAAAAUUUCAAUUCUAUAGCAUUCAGACCAUGGUUCCCUUUUUGUUACUUUGCUACAACAUUCAGAGUAUGGUAUCUGUUCCAUAAACCAUAAAAACCAAAAAAAGAGGAGAGCCUAGCUGAAACUGCUUUGUUAGUGCAGAUUUUUAGAAUUAUCAGGGAAACUGCUUUGGAAGUGCAAGGAUGUCUCAGAAGGUUGCUCUGAAUCACAUUCUUCGGGGAUGUGGCUCUGGUUGAAGCAGAGUAUAAGAAUUGGGUUGUUGACUGUGACAAGUAUGUCGCCAUUGUUCGCCCUCAAUCACAUUUUCCAGGUGCUGCUAUGUUCGAUGUUGAGUACAACAGGUUGAAAUGGUAGCUUAUUUCCUAAUUUUUUGACACUAAGUAGAUGUGCAAUCCACCUACUAGGUAUACACGCUCCUUCUUUUCAAUUACACUCACAUUCUUAUUCAUUUUCCUUGCUUUGGUGGAUUAUUCUAUGCUUUCCCUGUUAACCAUCUUCUUCAUUUAUUUUAGAAUCUUCUGUGUUUCAUGAUAUUUCAUAGGAUUCUAAUUUUAACAGUUUAAAUGAUAGUCUCUUAAACUAUCUGGUUAGAAGAUAGGUGGAAUAAAUACAUGGUAGUUAAAUCUGAAGCAUAUACGUAUUAUCAUACAUGGUCCGUAUACGUGCAUUGUUGCUACUUGAUUUUUAUUUGCAUAUGCUUCCUCUAUCCUAUGGGCACUCGUUUGACACUGCCGCUUGCCUUGCAGCGUGUCUAUUCCAUUAUUAAAAGAUGAAUUCUACAUCGUUAAAGUUCUAGAAAUUAGUUUGGCUAAUCCCCUGAAACCACGACCACGGCGGCACCAAGCAGUUCCUCCUCUUUGCCUCCCACAACAAAGAUUAUCUGGUCAGAACCCCUCUUCCCCCUUCUUUCUCUCUGUAUGUGCUGCUCCCAUCGAUCGAUUCAGACUGCAGAGUUUCCUCUGUACAUUUCCUCCACCCGAGACAUCAAAGGAGGGUUCAAUUUGAGGUUUUCUUCGGGGGCUGAUUAUUUUUGCUUAAUUUCAGCUUUGCCUCAAAAUGUUACUCUGUGAAUGAUACAUGCUAAUAUCUGCCUGGGAAUGGAGAGAACAUAACAUUUUGCCUUUGGGGAAAUCUGUUUCAUUACAUAUGUAUGUUAUGUACCAAGAGGUGGCAAGAAGAAUACUCUGCAUUGUACUGUACUGUAUGUGCCUAUCAAUUUAUGUACCAAUGGUUUGAGUUGUGAGUUUACAAUUUCCAUUUGCUUUAACCACAUUCUGAUAACUCUCUUAAGAUGGCCCCUGCUUUCUAUCUUGAUUUCGUUGCAAACGAGUGGCUUCGAUGCAGUAAAAAGUAGACCAAAACAAUAGAACUAGGUCCUAAUUCAGGGCUAUGUAUGCACACACCUCAUUAUUACUGAUUUGAAACCAUCGUCUUAUUUUGUUGUCUACACGGUGGUGGCUUGAAGAAGGGCCUUUCCAAGACUGAAUUGGCGAAUGUCGGCAUACGCAAGCCUCUGUUCUUAGAUGAUGCUUCUAAGAUUUCUAGGAUUCAAGGUCCCCUGACCCUGGCCAAGGACUAUGACAUGGAGUGACCUGUUAGUGUUGUUGACACAUCUUCUCUACUUUAUCUUGUAUGCUCUUGUGUCUACGAAGGGAGCUCUUCUCCACGAUGCCGGUGACUAGCGCACGCGGUCUCCGUUUGAUCGUAUCCCCGGCAAGUAAGGUAGAUCAUGUACAUCUUGCUGCUCUGAAUUUGUCUUCAUGCUGAACAGAAAUAGGAUUUUUAUUUUGUUCAUGCUGAACAGAAAGUGUCAGCACUGUGAUUUCUAGCUAGAGCUAGGGAAUCUAGACACUUUACUUCUGGCUAGAGCACUCUUUUGUACAGAACUAGGGAAAUUAGGUUUCUGUUUUUUUAAAAUACAUUCAUCUUAUUAAUUGUUAAAGGGAAAACAUAGCUACAAAUACCAUAUAACUUACCAAGUUCUGGUUUCAGGUCUUGUCAGAUUGUUUCCAACUCUUUUUUCUUAUGUUCUGCAAAUAAUUUAGGAGCAACCAACAUUGUUUGUUUUGCUCACGAGUAUGUGUAUAUAUGUAAAGAAAGUCUAUGAUAGUUUCUGUUAUGAUAUACACAACAGUAAGAUGUGUUGUUUGUUUUUAGUCUCAAUUGUGUGUUUCCUAUGCCUCUCUUAUGCUCACCGAGCCACAGUUACUACAUGCUUGGUUCUGACAAGGCUUUAUUUCUGGUCUACAACCCUUUGUCUAGAAUGGUGUUUGUUUGUUUACCGUCGAUUGGUUCUAUAUAUAGAUUUAUAUUUGUGUAGUCUAUUUAUGUUGCUGAUUAACUUAUGCAGACCUCGGCUUGAUCGCAUUGUCUUGCCUAUCAUCUUGCUAUUCCCUGUAGAAUAUGAUGUCCUUCGUUCUUUGUUUUUUGUUAGAAUUUCUGUGCCAUGUGUUUGUUGGCCUUUUCAUGGUUACUCAAAUUAUCACGAUUGCUAUGUGUUUUUUGGCCUUUUCAUGGUUAUUCCUUAAAUUAUCACAUGCUUUUGUACGCACUGGACCAUUCCUUAUUCAUUGUUUAUGGAGUCCAUCUGCAUUGUUUCGAUAUAGUGAGUGCUUCUUUUUAGUUCAGUGCUAAUUGAAAUUGUGCAUAUAAAUAAGCUUUGAAUUAGUCGAUGUUCUUUGGCACUUGAAGCUGCGGUAGUGCUAUUCCUCCUGUCCUACGACCUGCUGAUAGGUUAUUUGUUAGCAGACCAUCCUCAAAUAAUAUGAUCUCAAACUGGGUAAAUCCUUCAGCAAGUAGAUAGUUCUGGAGAGUAAGAUGAUAGAUAACACCUGGGCUCCAUGUUUGCUCAACACAAAGAAAUCGCUUAUGUGUCUUCGGCUUCGACACUACGCAUAGGAAGCCGCUGCUGAUAAUCCAAACUUUGAAAAGGUUAGUUCAAGGUUCAUAAGUCCGUUGUCAAUGGAGAAAAUGUUAUCUGUUUCAAGUGACUGAACAAACUAUAGAUAGCAGGUUCAUGUGUUGCGGCAUAUGAAAGGUUGAAUGUCAAGACGAUCAGGUUAUUUCCAAAAAAUAUGCUUCUAUGGAACUACAUAGGUUCUUUGUCUCGCAUUGCCGCUGUGGUGAUUUUGCUGUAUAAAAAGUACAUUGUCUGUAUCAAACUUGAUGUGAAUUGAUCGUCCGGUCUUGCUUUUGGAAAAGUAUAUAUUUAUAUUCCUCA